RNAcentral lists this unclassified non-coding RNA (1953 nucleotides) under uncultured fungus. RNAcentral's name for it is "sequence contains 18S rRNA gene, ITS1, 5.8S rRNA gene, ITS2, 28S rRNA gene". The stretch from base 752 to 1953 matches the Rfam family "Eukaryotic large subunit ribosomal RNA", at positions 1 to 961 of the family's 3401-position model. The record is from RNAcentral. Lineage: Eukaryota; Fungi.
GGAGGGAUCAUCAAAGAAUUUCCAAAACCACAAAGUGUUCCUCUCCUUUGGGGGAGUGAAUGCUUUCAAACAAACGAUCACAACUAACUAUGGGAAAUAAUUGGAUUGGAAACUAAAAAAAAAGUGUUUGCCUGAUAAUUUGAUUGGAAAAAAAGAGAAAAAUACAACUUUCAACAACGGAUCUCUUGGCUCUCACAUCGAUGAAGAACAUAGCAAAGUGUGAAAAUUAAUGUGAAUUGCAGAAUUCAGUGAAUCAUUGAGUUUUUGAACGCAUCUUGCACUUCUUGGUAUUCCAGGGAGUAUGCCUGGUUGAGUAAUGUGAAUACAUCUAAUCAAACUUUCUUUUUGAUUGAGGAAAGUUUGGAAUUGAGUGGAUUUUACCUUGAAAACAGCAACAAGCAAUUGUUGUUGUCUCCAAGGUUCACUUGAAAUGGAGGGAAAGUCAACAAGCAAAAAAAACAACAACAGGGAGAAUUUGAUUGUGAUCGCUCAAAGACAAGCAGAUUAUUUUCCCCCACCCCUCAUUGAUUUGGUAGAGGAAAGGGAGAGAGAGAGUCAAGCUUGAUCAUAACAAUGACUUGAGGAAUCGUAAAAGUCUUGUUUAGAGCUUUUCUUGUAUCUGUUCUGUCUGAUCUCUAAUCAAUCCUGGUUGAUUUGUUGCUAGCAGUUGUCAUAUUUCCACAACUAGGGAAUUUUUGAUGGUUUAUUAUAGCCUUCUAAGCUAUAUAGCUAACCAACAAAACCAAAAUAUCAUUCUCAACUCAGGCAAGAUUACCCGCUGAAUUUAAGCAUAUAAAUAAGCGGAGGAAAAGAAACUAACAAGGAUUCCCUCAGUAACUGCGAGUGAAGCGGGAAAAGCUCAAUUUUGAAAUCUACCAAGAGUAACAUUCUUGGUCGAAUUGUAGUUUCGAGAAAGAAUGGCUGAGAGAAGUCGAGUUGGAUACAAGUUCCUUGGAAUGGGACAUCAGAGAGGGUGACAAUCCCGUCUACUGUCCUUCCGUUUGCUUCUCAUAAAGGCCUUCUUUUCAAAGAGUCGAGUUGUUUGGGAUUGCAGCUCAAAAUGGGUGGUAAAUUUCAUCUAAAGCUAAAUAUGGGUGAGAGACCGAUAGCGAACAAGUACCGUGAGGGAAAGAUGAAAAGUACUCUGAAGAGAGAGUCAAAAGUACGUGAAAUUGUUGAAAGGGAAACGCUUGAAACCAGUCAAGGUUUUCUAGAGAUCAGGGAGGUUUCACAUAGUUGAGCAAAUUGGUUGUAAGGGAUUGGCUCUUUCUUGGGUUGACUCGACGCUGAUUUCAUGCUUGAUUAUGCUUUCUGUACGUCUCUAGUAAACAAGUCAGCAUCAGUUUGGCUGCUUGGGAAAAAGAUAACAGGAUUUGGUCGAGCUUUCGAUGGGCCUUGUGUCCUUGAUGGUUUGAGCCUGCUUAUCAUGAUACCAAGUGCUAGACUGAGGACAGCAGUACGAAGCAUUGACUUGGAAUAGGCAAUCUUGUGGUGCUAUCCUUGAUAAACAGCUUGUCUGAUUGUCAAGAAUAGAAUCACCCAAGUCUUGUCAAAUCCAGGCUGGCUUUUGACUUUGGAUGUUGACGAAAUGGUUUUAAACGACCCGUCUUGAAACACGGACCAAGGAGUCUAACAUGGAUGCAAGUAUUUGGGUGAUUGGAAACCCAUAUGCGUAAUGAAAGUGAAUUUAUUUGAGAGGUAGGAAGUCCUUUUCUUCUUCUUCACGGAAGAAAGGGGGACAGCACUAUCGACCAAUCUUGACUAGCUUCGGCUUGAUAGAUUUGAGUAAGAGCAUGCAUGUUGGGACCCGAAAGAUGGUGAACUAUGCCUGAAUAGGGUGAAGUCAGACGAAAGUCUGAUGGAAGCUCGUAGCGAUUCUGACGUGCAAAUCGAUCGUCAAAUUUGGGUAUAGGGGCGAAAGACUAAUCGAACCAUCUAGUAGCUGGUUCCUGC